RNAcentral lists this ribosomal RNA (458 nucleotides) under uncultured bacterium. RNAcentral's name for it is "partial 16S ribosomal RNA". It matches the Rfam family "Bacterial small subunit ribosomal RNA", at positions 338 to 795 of the family's 1533-position model. The record is from RNAcentral.
CCUACGGGUGGCAGCAGUGAGGAAUAUUGGUCAAUGGGCGAGAGCCUGAACCAGCCAAGUCGCGUGAGGGAGUACUGCCCUAUGGGUUGUAAACCUCUUUUGUCGGGGAGCAAAAGCCGGACGUGUCCGGCUGUGAGAGUACCCGAAGAAAAAGCAUCGGCCAACCUCGUGCCAGCAGCCGCGGUAAUACGGGGGAUGCGAGUUUUAUCCGGAUUUAUUGGGUUUAAAGGGGGCGCAGGGGGAUUUUUAAGUCAGCGGGAAAAUCGUGGGGCUCAACCCCAUCCAGCCGUUGAAACUGGGGAUCUAGAGUGUGCGAGAGGUAUGCGGAAUGCGUGGUGUAGCGGUGAAAUGCAUAGAUAUCACGCAGAACCCCGAUUGCGAAGGCAGCAUACCGGUGCACAACUGACGCUCAGGCACGAAAGCGUGGGUAUCGAACAGGAUUAGAUACCCUGGUAGUC